GAAGCACUGGCUUCAGCAGCAGAAGGCAGAAUCAUUGAUAGCAAGAAUCUUUUGAGCUCCUCAGAGCCAUGCAGCUCCUCACCCUUACCCUCUGCCACUGCCAUCAGCAAUGGGGAUUUCUCAGUCAUCUAUGAGAGAUUAUAGCUGUUUGGAUCAACACAGCCCCCUCCUCUUCAUCAUGAAAACUACCACUGCAUUAGUAAAAUUCUGAAGACACAAAUUAAUGACAAAGUCACGCAAAUGACUCAGCAUAGAGAAGCGGGACAGACAUAUAAACAAAGAGCUAUGUAGUCUGGGACACUCAAGCUCCUAUCCUUGCUCGUAGAAGAUCCAACUAUUUGCCCCACAAGCAAACACGUUUUUGGCUUGCUCUUCUUCCUGCCUGGAACGUUCACCUCCCUGAUUCUCACAUUGCUGGCCAAUUUCAUCCUUCAGGUCUCAGCUCAAAUACAGUAUCUUUAAGGAUGCCGGAGAUACAGGAGUGCUGGGAAGGCAAGACCAUGGUCCCUUUAAAUGAUACGGGAGUGCUGGGUAGAGGAAGGGUGUGGUCCCUGGCUAGGGCUCCACCCCCACCGACCUAGAUGAGGACCUGGCACUCCUGCCUGCACGCCCAAAUGUUGUAUUUCCCAAGACCAUCCUGGCCCACCACGGCCCCAUCCUGUGACUAUAAAAACCUGAGACUCUAGCAAGGCAAAGACCGAAACGACUGGACGUGUAGAGGAGCGGAUCAGCAGAAGAAGAUAGAGGCAGGGGGAUGUCAAAUGCAGCAUAUCAGCGUAGGAACACACAGGCCGUUGAAGCGAGAGAGGAGCACAUCAAUGAAAGAAGGCACAAGCAUCUGGAUGGCGAGAGGAUGUUGAGGGGAGCAUGGCAGCUGAAGAGCACACCGACAGGACACACGCCGGCACUGUCCCGGUGGGAGUGGGAUGAGGCGGAGUUUGGUGGGGGCAGUGGGAGGAGAGCCCUGGCCGUGGAGUGCCCCAACUCCAGGGGAAAACCAUCUCCCUUCUGGCUCCCCCAUCUGCUGAGAGCUACUUCCACUCAAUAAAAGCUUGCACUCAUUCUCCAAGCCCACAUGUGAUCCUAUUCUUUCGGUACACAAAGGCGAGAAACCCCGGGAUACAGAAAGCCCUCUGUCCUUGAGAUGAGGUAGAGGGUCUAAUUGAGCUGGUUAACACAAGCCUAUAGAUGGCACACUAAGAGAGCAUCCUGUAACACACGCCCACUGGGGCUUCAGCUGUAAACAUUCACCCCUAGACACUGUUGUAGGGUGGGAGCCCCACAGCCUGCCGUCUGUAUGCUCCUCUAGAGGUCUGAGCAGUGGGGCACUGGAGAGCCACACCCACAUCGCAUGCCCUGCCGGGGGACUACUGAACCUUUCCCGUUUCACUAGCAUAUACAAUAUAACCCUCUGGCCUAUCGCUUUAACACAUUUCCUCAGAGCGUUCAACAUCAUCUGUUAAAUACUUGUAUUAUAAUAUUUUAUCUCUUUAUUUCUUUUGCUUUAUAAAAUAAAUUGCUUAUCUUUUCGGUAAUCCCCUGUAUCCCUGAUGCUUCGAUCAAUGCCUAACAUAUAUUGAAUUAAUAUUAAUUGAUGAAAUAAAUGGAUAAACACACUCCUUCCUGAGUAUGAAUAUAUCUUAACUGUAUCACAUAACUUUUUUCACAUUCUUCCUUGCCUCAACGGUUUGCAUAUAUUUCACGUAGGUCACUUAUCACUAUCGGGAUUUAUGUAAUUUAAAAAUCUCCUCCAUUAAAUUGCAAAUUUCUUGGCAACUGGAUUUUCUUAUAUUCAUUUGUUAAAAUUUGCAUGCCUUUAAGACAUACAUAUACUAACUGCUCAAAUAAUAUUAUUUAAAUGAAUGGAUGUAAAUUAUACUAAGGGCAAGUUUAAGAAUUAUUAUUUCCUUUUUACCCAGAAGCUUAAAAACAUUUCAUUUUCUAAAAUUCUAUGAGAAGGCAUAUAUAUGAUUAUAGCACUGGCC
RNAcentral lists this long non-coding RNA (1985 nucleotides) under Homo sapiens (human). Its description in RNAcentral is "HSALNT0203203". The record is from RNAcentral. Lineage: Eukaryota; Metazoa; Chordata; Mammalia; Primates; Hominidae.